Molecule: long non-coding RNA, 1724 nt
Organism: Esox lucius (northern pike)
Lineage: Eukaryota; Metazoa; Chordata; Actinopteri; Esociformes; Esocidae
Source: Ensembl
AUUAUGCUGAUUGUACUGAUCCAAGAACAGUUUAUUAUUUCUUAAUAAGCAUGCUUAUUGUAUGUACCUUAUUAAGGACAUUUUCCAACACCGACUGGCCAUUCACUUUUUUGCUUCAAUCUGACCAAACGCAGCCCCAGCCCUGUCUGGCAGAUACAUUUUUGAUCAUUUUGCAGCAUUUUUAGACAGAAAAAUAGAUGUCAAGAUCCACUUGCUUGCAUACAUUUUAAAAUACACAACACAAGCAUUAUGUAAGCGUUUGAAUACAGCACCCAGAGCGUUUUAUUAAUACGCAAGACAGUUGGCAAAAAGAGAUCUACCAAAGUGCCCAUACGCCGCUGACUGGUGGGGCUCAUUAAACCGUAACCCGUCCACAUCUAAUCAGCGCUCUCCUACGAAAACGAAAGGAGUGAUUGAUCGCGGAUGUUUUCCUCGACUUGAUGGGACUGGAAUUUGGUGAAAUCCUAAGCCCACCGCCAGUAACCCAUGACUGAGACGGAAACUAGAGACGCCAACGAGAUUUCAGCGAUGGUGGUAACAGCAGAACUUCGGGAAAACCACGACACAACCUGGGUCCGCUUGCCAACGCGUUGACUUUUUCCAUUAAAGCGUUUUUUAACAACCAAAUAGUGUACUAGCGUUUUAGACACAAUGUAUGCUGCCGGACCAUGAAUAACUCCCGUGACUCUUGCUGGCCACCGAUCACAUGGAUUUGAUCAUCUGAAGAACAUCCUAUAGAAAAUGAUAAAUGUGUGUGAACGGGUCUGUGCUCCGUACCGUCGUGCUGUUUCUACUGUUGGGUGUCUCCUACAGUAAGUGCAAGUGCGACUACUGGGAGAUACUCAACUCUUACAGAGAACUCAUCUUCGUUGAACUGCAGAAUUUGAAUUUGACGGGCACUUUCGACACAUCUUCAGAAAGGGACCGCUGUCCCUCGGGAAAAGCACAGCGUAUUUUGCACUCUAUCCACGGAUUGGCACUCCAGUUUCUUUGCCAGAACUGGGAAAUGGGCAGCAGGCAGAGAAGCAGUCAGCAGGAAGACAUGGAGAAGCCAGUGGUGAUGAUGAAACAGCUGAUCACACAGAACUGCAAUCCAGCUGACCUGGUGAGAAAACAGAAAAGAGACCGGUCGUGUGCAAAACCCAAGAGAACAAGAGGAAAGAAGAAGAAGCGGAUGCGACUCAUCAGAGCACUGAUCAAAUGUUGGCAGAAGCUACAGAGUGUGUCGAAGCCCACAAAAUAAUGCAUCAAAAAUAUUUUUAUCCACUUCCAAAAAAACGUGUGUGUUUAAUUGUGUUCUCAUUUUGUAAAGUAGAAACAUAGUUGUAUUUCCGGCAUUAAGCUCUCUGUUUAGGACCUUUCUUCUUGUGUGUAACAUCUUCCACAUAUAUAAGCUAGCCAUCCACAGGUCAUCUGUAUUAGAUGGCUGUUAGAGGAUGGGUUAUAAUGAAAUGACAAUAGGCUAUUUACUUUUCACACACAUUUUUUUAAAUGAAAAUCCAGAGAUAGGAUUAUUUCUUUCCCUAAACAUGUACAUGUGUGUUGGUGCUUAUGUUUUUGAGAUGUAUUAGUUCAAGCUACUUACAUGCAAUAAAGGUUCCUCAAGCUAACAUUUCAAAUGAAUGAAUGCAAAAAUGUGUUGUUCAUUCCUGUUAAGCUCAAAAACCAGUGUUCCAUCUAGAUUGGCAUGUUUCACAUUGAAAUACAUGAUGUUCAUAUAAAAU